GCUGAAGAUGGCAGAAUAGUGCAUUAGAUUUAAGCUCUAAAUAUAAAAUAAUAUUUUUCUCAGUA
RNAcentral lists this transfer RNA (65 nucleotides) under Anatoma sp. MNHN-IM-2013-42003. RNAcentral describes it as "tRNA-Leu". Lineage: Eukaryota; Metazoa; Mollusca; Gastropoda; Pleurotomariida; Scissurellidae. The record is from RNAcentral.